Triticum dicoccoides is the source of this 2663-nucleotide long non-coding RNA. RefSeq lists it as uncharacterized. The record is from RefSeq and is a predicted model, not a curated record. The transcript has 4 exons. NCBI's taxonomy places the organism in Eukaryota, Viridiplantae, Streptophyta, Magnoliopsida, Poales, Poaceae.
GUCAUCCUUAUCCCUAACCUCCUGACCCCAACCAUCCCACACAUCACGCCAUGGAUUGCGCCGCCGCCCUGCUCAACAGCCAACGCCGUCGCCGCCUGCCCCAUCCGUCGUCGCUCCCGCCGCAUCAACCCUCUGCCGCAUCCCACCGCCAUCAUGAACCAUCUCUCUCCUUGGUCUUCUGUCUUUGACCAAUACUGGGUGGCGACUGUGCUUCCGGUCGCGUGGUGGCGAUGUGGCUGGUCGAGGGAACACAGUGUUCCUGUUGUGCCCCUUCACACAUUGGACCACCGUGGCGCGGAAGUACAUGGAGAAGAUCGCGCUGCUCUUAGCAAAUUCGGGUGUUUUGAGUCGGCUACCCAGCAAGGGGUAUGGUCACAUGGAUGAUUAGCAUCUUUUGGCAAAAGCAUGUUAAUUCACUGAAGAAAUACUACUGCACCUAUGACUAUGAGCGGAGAUGUCCACUCACGAUUUUUGAGGACCACUUGAGGAUGUGAUCAGUAGUGCAGCUUCAAAGCUGCUUGAUAUGACAUAGUGUUUGAUUUUUACAAAUCUGAAAGUCAAGCCUAAGCAAUGUUACGGUUCAGAUCUAAACCUUAAACUUACUGAUUAUUUGUUGUGCGUUACUAAUCUGACCGGCCAUCGAUUUCCACCUUAACCUUAUUUAUCUUUCUUAUUAGCUCCACGUCUCUAGCGUCUAUAGAGUCCUAACCCAAGAAUAUCUCCUGCCGCCUUCAGUCCAAACCCUCGGCAAGAGUCUCCCCUGCAUCCUCCUCUUCUCCUUGCCGCCUAUGUCUCCUUCUUUUGCUCCUCGGGUCGCUAUUGUGACGCGUCCGUCGUCUUUUUCAUGAGGAGCUAGAUGAUUUCAGUCUGAGAUUACAUCCUCCUAUAGAGAAUCCUACCCUUUCCAUGCUGUCACUGUAGCCAGGUCUAGCAAAGGGGAUAAAUUUAUGUUGCAAAUGAGAUGCUAAAGUUUAUAUGCAGAGGUGUGCAACUCUGUAUCCAUCAACAUCCAUACUUCAGGGUGGAGUAGAGGAAGGGAGCAUUUACCAGAGAUGUGCUUUUAGCAGCAUUAUUUUUAGAUAAAAUAAUUAUACCUGCUUUUAUCUGUAAGCUGCACACAGGGCAGAGGAUGCAAUUUGGUUUAGAAGAAGAAGAAAACACAUUGACACUAUGGCUUAUAAUUCUUAUGAUAGUAUCAGAAAAUAUAUGCAAUAUGGUUUAGGUAACAAAAACACAGCAUUAUGUCUUCGUUGGAAAAUUUGCCACUCCGGAGACAUAGACAGAAUUAUCACUUUCAUCUUAUUAAUGGUAUUUUCCUAAAGUAAGAAGAUAAAGAAGAGAUGGGUUUAUAUGAAGCAGGCCUGCCGCAACAGUCAAAAGAUGAUGUCUCAGUAUUUCACAUUUAAAGCAAGGACAAGUGCUCAUAAAUGAUUAUAUGUAUCUACUUUAUUAAACUAGCAUAUUAACUAAUCCCCCGAAUCCAUGUACUCUAUAUUCUUACUGAUUGCAUGACGUUCUUUUGCUUCUUGAUAAAUAUGUCCAUUUUCAUUAUUAUUUCAUAAUAUCUGCUAUGUACAGUGGCAUCAUUGAGCAUUCCUUUACUUUUCACAUUUCAGUUCAAUGUUCUGCACAGUGCACAGUAUAACGCUACAUUGGAUGGCGCUAUUAAAUACUUCGAGGUCAUGCGACAGAGCACGAAAAAAGAACUAUCGAGGUAUGUUUUAUGCUCAUACUACGAUUUUGAGAUUCAGAUGCAGUUUUAUUUAGAACACAUUUUUAUCAUAAUAUUCAAUUCCAAUGCAUUUGGAAUGGGUCAAGUCAAUUGUAAGAGUUGAAUUAGCUACUUCGCCUUUGAGUCCUUUGUUGUUUAGUUGUAAUUUUUUAUUCAAUAAAUUCCUAAAUGCACCAUUUCUUAUGAGCAGGUUUUUUUAAAAUCAAAAUCACAAUGUUAUAUAUAUGUUUCGUGCCUCUCACGUCAAUUCUAAGAGGGCACAGGUUGGGUUCAAUAUUUUUAUCGUCAGAUCUAACCAUGAUGAAGGCAGGCCCCUCCGAUUGCUAUUAGGAAUGUGGAAGGUUGACCAGCCGUCUCUUCCUCUCCAUCGUCUCUCCAUGGUGUGCAUGUUAAGAACUUAUGCAGCAGCGGACGCCAAUUUCAUGGAGCCGUCAGCAUCAACUUUUGUGGAGUCCUCUUCUAGGAUCUGAUACGAGUCCCUCCGACAUCAGAUAAGGUUUGGGUAUGCAUGAGGACGAAUCGGAUAAUCAAUUGCAAACUGAUUGUAUCGUAUGUUGUGUACUAUCGACGCAUUUGCUUGGGUGGAAAAGUCUCGCUUCUGAUUACAACACUUUCAGAAGACAGUAGAAGUCGUUUGGUUCAGCCCUUCUGAUUUGUGUUACGGUGCUAUCGGAUAAAGCGCUUCACUUCGCUUCCGUGAAAAAGUCCGAUCACGGCUGGAUACAGGAUCCUCUCCACUACGCAUUCACUCGCGGCCAAGCCAAACAAAACGCAUAUUCAGGACUCAGGAGGAAAUAUCAGAGGCAAAGCUUCCCGACACUAAAAAUAAAAAACGAUACAAACGUGGAACCAAACGCCUCCCAUAUUUCUUCGGUUCCACUUGGAAAACAUAGAUUGAUUAUGUAUCAAUAAACCAUGUGUUAGUCAAGAC